UAAUGAGCAGACCCUGUUGAUCUUCCCUUUGGAUGCCACCUGCUUUCAUAACACGCAAAUAAUUAAACUGGCUGACCACAAAUGAAAAAAAAACAGAUUUGGUACAAUAUCAUAUGGGUAAAAACUGUUCCUGUCUUGAGGGCAACCUCUCAAAUUUAGAUGACAUAUGUGAAUGGGACAGGAAUCAGACAGUUAUGUUAGCAAUGUUGAGUCUUGUACUGCAGACAUUGAAUCUGAAACAAAUUUUGCUGCACAUAGUUUUUCAAGCAUUGACGACCUUUCCAAAGUUAUUGAGCAGAACAUCGCUUCAGUGGUAUUGAAGUUGGAAAAUAUUUUGUUUGUACCAUCCACAGCUAUUAAUGAAUUACUGCAUGAAUUGCAUUAUGUAGUAAGUUCCUCCUCUAUUCCGAUCACUUUCAAUAGCCUGUCUAACAUUCUUAAAAAUAAUAAUGUUCUAGUUGAUGAGCCAGUUGUCAAAGAACUUGCUCAAGUACUGUGCAGUUCUAAUCCUUUAGCCAAAGCCUUUGCAAAAGAUGGUCCUCUAGCUACAGCUUACAAAAGAAAACAGUAUUACAAAGAACAUUUCAAUGUGAUUAACCCAGUAAAAUACAUCCUUGAUCAUAAGGCUAAUACGACAUUUCAGUAUAUUCCAAUUUUGCCUUUUUUGCAGCAUAAGUAACUGUGACAUUUAAAAAAAUGUUAUCCAUAUCCACAAAACACAGGCAAAUACUUCAGGUGUCGUGGAAAUACUGUUCUGUAAGAGAUGGAAUUUACUACAAAGAAAAUUAUUUUUUUAAAGGAGAGGAUUUAAAAUUAUCAAUAUCAUUGUACAUUGAUGACUUUGAAACUAUAGUUUGUGAAAGGCACAGUU
Molecule: long non-coding RNA, 871 nt
Organism: Alosa sapidissima (American shad)
Lineage: Eukaryota; Metazoa; Chordata; Actinopteri; Clupeiformes; Clupeidae
Exons: 3
Source: RefSeq, a predicted model, not a curated record